AACGAACGCUGGCGGCAGGCUUAACACAUGCAAGUCGAGCUCAUCCUUCGGGGUGAGCGGCAGACGGGUGAGUAACACGUGGGAAUCUACCCAACCCUACAGAAUAGCUCCGGGAAACUGGAAUUAAUACCGUAUACGCCCUUAGGGGGAAAGAUUUAUCGGGGAUGGAUGAGCCCGCGUUGGAUUAGCUAGUUGGUGGGGUAAAGGCCUACCAAGGUGACGAUCCAUAGCUGGUCUGAGAGGAUGAUCAGCCACAUUGGGACUGAGACACGGCCCAAACUCCUACGGGAGGCAGCAGUGGGGAAUAUUGGACAAUGGGCGCAAGCCUGAUCCAGCCAUGCCGCGUGAGUGAUGAAGGCCUUAGGGUUGUAAAGCUCUUUCACCGGAGAAGAUAAUGACGGUAUCCGGAGAAGAAGCCCCGGCUAACUUCGUGCCAGCCGCCGCUAACA
This 449-nucleotide ribosomal RNA is filed under the name uncultured bacterium. Its description in RNAcentral is "partial 16S ribosomal RNA". It matches the Rfam family "Bacterial small subunit ribosomal RNA", at positions 29 to 525 of the family's 1533-position model. The record is from RNAcentral.